GUCACCUAAUUGCCCGUAGUGUAAGGCGCUUCCCUGCUAAGGAAGUGGACAUUGUCCGCGCGAGUUCGAAUCUCGUUGGUGUCG
RNAcentral lists this transfer RNA (84 nucleotides) under Puccinia graminis f. sp. tritici. RNAcentral describes it as "tRNA-Ser". The record is from RNAcentral. Lineage: Eukaryota; Fungi; Basidiomycota; Pucciniomycetes; Pucciniales; Pucciniaceae.